Molecule: ribosomal RNA, 333 nt
Filed under: uncultured bacterium
Lineage: Bacteria
Description: bacterial SSU rRNA
Rfam family: Bacterial small subunit ribosomal RNA
Source: RNAcentral
UGCGUUAGGCGGCGCGGAAAGUUGGGUGUGAAAUCCCUCGGCUCAACCGAGGAACUGCGCCCAAAACUACCGUGCUCGAGGGAGAUAGAGGUGAGCGGAACUUAGGGUGGAGCGGUGAAAUGCGUUGAUAUCCUAAGGAACACCGGUGGCGAAAGCGGCUCACUGGAUCUCUUCUGACGCUGAGGCACGAAAGCUAGGGUAGCGAACGGGAUUAGAUACCCCGGUAGUCCUAGCCGUAAACGAUGAGCACUGGAUUGGAGGGUCCUCCAUAGCCUUCCAGUCGCAACGAAAGCGUUAAGUGCUCCGCCUGGGGAGUAUGGUCGCAAGGCUGAA